This 760-nucleotide ribosomal RNA is filed under the name uncultured archaeon. Its description in RNAcentral is "bacterial SSU rRNA". It matches the Rfam family "Archaeal small subunit ribosomal RNA", at positions 162 to 928 of the family's 1478-position model. The record is from RNAcentral.
AUCGGUUGCUGGAAUGCACGAUGUUCGAAAGCUGAGGCGCCCAAGGAUAGGUCUGCGGCCGAUUAGGUUGUUGUUGAUGUAACGGAUCAACAAGCCUACGAUCGGUACGGGUUGUGAGAGCAAUAGCCCGGAGAUGGGUUCUGAGAGAAGAACCCAGGUCCUACGGGACGCAUCAGGCGCGAAAACUUUACAAUGUGCGAAAGCACGAUAAGGGAACUCUGAGUGCCUCCUAAGGAGGCUGUUCAAGUGUCUAAAAAGCACCUGAAGGAAGGGCUGGGUAAGACCGGUGCCAGCCGCCGCGGUAACACCGGCAGCCCAAGUGGUAGUCAUGCUUAUUGGGUCUAAAGCGUCCGUAGCCGGCCGGGUAAGUUCCUUGGGAAAUUUGACCGCUUAACGGUCAAGCUUUCAGGGAAUACUGCUUGGCUUGGGACCGGGAGAGGUCAGAGGUACUCCAAGGGUAGGGGUGAAAUCCAUUAAUCCUUGGGGGACCACCGGUAGCGAAGGCGUCUGACCAGACCGGGUCCGACGGUGAGGGACGAAGGCUAGGGUCGCGAACCGGAUUAGAUACCCGGGUAGUCCCAGCUGUAAACGAUGCGGGCCAGGUGUUGGCAUUACUGCGAGUGAUGCCAGUGCCGAAGGGAAGCCGUUAAGCCCGCCAUCUGGGGAGUACGGUCGCAAGGCUGAAACUUAAAGGAAUUGGCGGGGGAGCACCACAACGGGUGGAGCUUGCGGUUCAAUUGGACUCAACGCCGGUAAUCAC